RNAcentral lists this non-coding RNA (195 nucleotides) under Clostridia bacterium. RNAcentral's name for it is "6S RNA". It matches the Rfam family "6S / SsrS RNA". Rfam says of the family: E. coli 6S RNA was the first non coding RNA to be sequenced, but its function was unknown until recently. The record is from RNAcentral. Lineage: Bacteria; Bacillati; Bacillota; Clostridia.
UUUUCCCUGCAUAGUGCGUAAGGACUGAAAUUUUAGAACCAACAAAGAGGAGUAGGGAGCCGAUUCUCAUAAAUAUGGCGUGCAAGCUUACACUUUAUUUAGUAGUAAGAAGCCCUUGAAUAUUUAGGUAGGCACCCACCUGUGUAAGAGCAGGUCCUUAAAAUUUCUUUUGACUACGGCUAAAGCGGGGGUAUU